CCGUCUAUAUACGUAUAGCAUAUCAAUAAGCGGAGGAAAAGAAACUAACAAGGGUUCCCUUAGUAACGGCGAGUGAAGCGGGAAGAGCUCAAAUUUGAAAUCUUCAAGGUUUUUACCUUGACGAAUUGUAGUUUAAAGAAGUGUUUUCUGUUGGAGUUUCGGUAAAAGUUCUUUGGAAUAGGACAUCAUAGAGGGUGAGAAUCCCGUAUUUGACCGUUACUUUCCAGCUGUGUGAUACACUUUCAAAGAGUCGGAUUGUUUGGGAAUGCAGUCCAAAAUGGGUGGUAAAUUUCAUCUAAAGCUAAAUAUUGGCGAGAGACCGAUAGCGAACAAGUACCGUGAGGGAAAGAUGAAAAGAACUUUGAAAAGAGAGUUAAACAGUACGUGAAAUUGUCAAAAGGGAAGCGUUUGACACCAGUGUUGUUUUCUCGAAAAUCAAUUAAAAAUGGUGGGAUGUUGUGUUGUAUUGACUUUAUCAGCUUUCUGCACUUUUUUUCUUAUCUUUUUUAAUGCACUUUUCGUUUAACAAGUCAACAUCAAUUUCUUUUGUUGUAAAAGAGUCAUUGGAAGGUGGCUUUUCUUUCGGAGAAAGUGUUUAUAGCCUUUGGCUUCUGCAAUCGGAGAGAGUUGAGGUCUGCAGCGUAGAUCCUUCGGGGUUAGAUGCAUUUGUGCUAAGCUAUAGUUCUUUAUAGACAACUUGUUGACUAUGAUCAGUCCUGUAGCUUACUCGCUUAUGCUAUUUUACCUACGCUUAGGAUGUUGAUAUGCAUGACUGAUAU
This 779-nucleotide ribosomal RNA is filed under the name uncultured Neocallimastigales. RNAcentral's name for it is "partial large subunit ribosomal RNA". It matches the Rfam family "Eukaryotic large subunit ribosomal RNA", at positions 25 to 634 of the family's 3401-position model. Lineage: Eukaryota; Fungi; Neocallimastigomycota; Neocallimastigomycetes; Neocallimastigales. The record is from RNAcentral.